RNAcentral lists this ribosomal RNA (119 nucleotides) under Salmo salar (Atlantic salmon). Lineage: Eukaryota; Metazoa; Chordata; Actinopteri; Salmoniformes; Salmonidae. The record is from RNAcentral.
GCUUACGGCCAUACCAGCCUGGGUACGCCCGAUCUCGUCUGAUCUCGGAAGCUAAGCAGUGUCGGGCCUGGUUAGUACUUGGAUGGGAGACCGCCUGGGAAUACCAGGUGCUGUAAGCA